RNAcentral lists this transfer RNA (64 nucleotides) under Barbronia weberi. RNAcentral's name for it is "tRNA-Trp". It matches the Rfam family "tRNA". From Rfam's summary of the family: Transfer RNA (tRNA) molecules are approximately 80 nucleotides in length. Their secondary structure includes four short double-helical elements and three loops (D, anti-codon, and T loops). Further hydrogen bonds mediate the characteristic L-shaped molecular structure. tRNAs have two regions of fundamental functional importance: the anti-codon, which is responsible for specific mRNA codon recognition, and the 3' end, to which the tRNAs corresponding amino acid is attached (by aminoacyl-tRNA synthetases). tRNAs cope with the degeneracy of the genetic code in two manners: having more than one tRNA (with a specific anti-codon) for a particular amino acid; and 'wobble' base-pairing, i.e. permitting non-standard base-pairing at the 3rd anti-codon position. Lineage: Eukaryota; Metazoa; Annelida; Clitellata; Hirudinida; Salifidae. The record is from RNAcentral.
AAGAAUUUAAGUUAAUAAAACUAUUAGCCUUCAAAGCUAAAAAUAGGGUAUACCCUAAAUCUUG